CCAUGACUAUAACCUGACUCCUGACCUAACAAUGACCCUGACCCUAACCCAUGACCUUCAUCAUAUCUGAUGAUCAUCACAAUCAUGAACUUAGCCCAACUUUGGCCUUGAGCCCAAUCAGGACUCUAAUAAUGAUCUGGACACCCAAUAUUGAGCCCCAAUCAUGACUGAUCUCAGCCCUAGCCAUGACUCUACCAUGGCCCUACUAUGACGGUUUGACUCUAACCCUAACCAUGACCUUCACCCCAAUUAGGAUCCUAACCAUGGUCCCAAUCUUGACCUUAAUUGUGCCCUAACCUCAUCUCUGACCCUUUCUUUCUUACCACAUGACCUUUACACUAAUUAUGACCCUGACAAUGCCUCUGGCUCUCCCUUACCACAUGGUGACACUUGAAGGCUUUCAUGACAGAAGCUUCCUUGAGGAACUCAAUGCGUUCCCGUGGGCUGGCCAGCUCAUUCACUGUCUUCAGGGCCACGGGUGUGGACUCCUCUCCAGCCUCAAGUCCUCGUGCCAGGCCCUCAUAUACCAUCCCAAAAGAGCCCUGGCCCAGUUCCCGGAUUAUCGAGAUCUGCUCCCGAGGCACCUCCCACUCAUCAGGGAUGUACACUGCAAAGAGUUGGAGGGUUGCAAAGCAAAGAUGCGCUCUCUGCCACACCUCACCCGCCAACUUCUCUUCUCUUCUGAAGGGUUCCGGUCCCAAGGCUAUCUUCUGCAAGAAGGUCUCCUGGAUGUCUGUCUCUGCUCCUCUCCUGUCUCCCUUUCCCAUACCACCUGUCCACCCACUCCCAGACCUACUAUCAGAGGCGCUGAAGUACUCCGGAUUCACAGAAGCAUACAGGGUUCUGUUUCUGCAACGGGAGGUGAGGGCGUCAGGUUGGAAGGGUUCUCAGGAAGGAAUGAGCAACAUCAGAAGGAAGAAGGACAUUUCAAGGAGAAGGGAAGUUACUGACCACACCCCCAGCCUUGGUCAGGGUGACUGCUGGGGAUCCCUAAGUACCCUCCAAGCUGGCCUUGGCCCUAUUCCUGGUUCCGACAGGGAAUAGGGAGGAUACAGGAGUAAAGGGGCUUCCACCCUAUCAGCUAGUCCCUAUAGCCAAGCUGAUCAAGGUCCAGCCCCGUUUUCCUCUUGCAGUCAGCCUUGGAAGGAUCUGACAUCAGGCAUUCUGGAACACAUCCCCAGGCCUCCUGCUUCUCCUCCUAAUAAGGGACCAGCUUUAUUAUUUCUCAGCUUGCGCUGAGAUUGUGGUGACCAACAAUCCCAGUGUGGCUGGAAUGAGGGGUUUCCUAGGAUGCGGAACUUUUACUGAUAAAACCAGGAAAAUCCCAGGCUAACCCGGAUAAGUUGGUCACCCUAGCUGAGAGGUAUGUUUCCUCCAUGUCACCACAGGGGAAGAGUUACUGUCUGUAUGGAAGAUCUGUCUUUCUACUGUCUCAUCUACCUCCCUUUGACAGACUUUAUGAUGAGGGCUCAGGGAGAAAAGGGGGUGGGGACUGGUGGGACUUAUCAUCACCUCUUCUUGCCGUAGAAGAAACCAAGGGCAGCAAGAACGAUGAGCAGCAUGAGCCCCACAGGGGUGGCAGUGAGGAGGACAUGCAGCCCCCCAGCAUCCUCCUCCUCUGGCAGUCAGAGGGCAGCAGAGGGUAGAGUCAAAGAUGUAGAAGUCAGAGAGAAGGCCAUGCUUCUCUUUCCAUGCUGGGAGAUUAGAAAACUGAAGACCAGAGAAGUUAACCUACUCAGAGUCACACGGCUAGUGAGUAGCAAAAUUGGUUCCAGAGCCCAUUCUCUUCACCACUGUUCUGGGAGUAAUGGAGGAAGGAGUGUAAUAGAAGGAGCUGGUCAGAGGCCUAACCCUUA
This is a non-coding RNA of Macaca mulatta (Rhesus monkey), 1856 nucleotides long. The record is from RefSeq and is a predicted model, not a curated record. Lineage: Eukaryota; Metazoa; Chordata; Mammalia; Primates; Cercopithecidae.